This 254-nucleotide ribosomal RNA is filed under the name uncultured bacterium. RNAcentral's name for it is "partial 16S ribosomal RNA". It matches the Rfam family "Bacterial small subunit ribosomal RNA", at positions 524 to 776 of the family's 1533-position model. The record is from RNAcentral.
UACGUAGGGUGCGAAGCGUUGUCCGGAUUCACUGGGUUUAAAGGGUGCGUAGGCGGGUUGGUAAGUCCGUGGUGAAAUCUCCGAGCUUAACUCGGAAACUGCCGUGGAUACUAUCAAUCUUGAAUAUCGUGGAGGUAAGCGGAAUAUGUCAUGUAGCGGUGAAAUGCUUAGAUAUGACAUAGAACACCAAUUGCGUAGGCAGCUUACUACACGAUCAUUGACGCUGAGGCACGAAAGCGUGGGGAGCAAACAGG